UAAGGAAUAUUGGACAAUGGAGGCAACUCUGAUCCAGCCAUGCCGCGUGAAGGAAUAAGGCCCUAUGGGGUGUAAACUUCUUUUAGACGGGACAAAACCCCUUUACGUGUAAAGGGUUGAUGGUACUGUCAGAAUAAGCAUCGGCUAACUUCGUGCCAGCAGCCGCGGUAAUACGAAGGAUGCAAGCGUUAUCCGGAAUUGUUGGGUUUAAAGGGUGGGUAGGCGGACUAAUAAGUCAGUGGUGAAAGCCUGCAGCUUAACUGCAGAAUUGCCAUUGAUACUGUUAGUCUUGAGUACAGUUGAGGUAGGCGGAAUGUGUCAUGUAGCGGUGAAAUGCUUAGAUAUGACACAGAACCCCGAUUGCGAAGGCAGCUUGCUAAGCUGUAACUGACGCUGAGGCACGAAAGCGUGGGGAGCAAACA
Molecule: ribosomal RNA, 422 nt
Filed under: uncultured bacterium
Lineage: Bacteria
Description: bacterial SSU rRNA
Rfam family: Bacterial small subunit ribosomal RNA
Source: RNAcentral